RNAcentral lists this non-coding RNA (31 nucleotides) under Homo sapiens (human). The record is from RNAcentral. Lineage: Eukaryota; Metazoa; Chordata; Mammalia; Primates; Hominidae.
UACUCCUACAGUGAAGUGCUGCCCAUAGAGU